GUGUCAGCAGCCGCGGUAAGACAGAGGGUGCAAACGUUGUUCGGAAUUACUGGGCGUAAAGCGCGUGUAGGCGGCAAGGCAAGUCGGGUGUGAAAGCCCUGGGCUCAACCCAGGAAGUGCAUUCGAUACUGCCCAGCUAGAGUCCCGGAGAGGAUGGUGGAACUCUCGGUGUAGAGGUGAAAUUCGUAGAUAUCGAGAAGAACACCGGUGGCGAAGGCGGCCAUCUGGACGGUGACUGACGCUGAGACGCGAAAGCGUGGGGAGCAAACAGGAUUAGAAACCCUCGUAGUCC
This 292-nucleotide ribosomal RNA is filed under the name uncultured bacterium. RNAcentral describes it as "partial 16S ribosomal RNA". It matches the Rfam family "Bacterial small subunit ribosomal RNA", at positions 505 to 796 of the family's 1533-position model. The record is from RNAcentral.